AUGUUUAUGACUGGGGAAGGGGAGAGUAAGUUUAUUAAAGCUCCCAGUUUGCAUCCAGCUGGAAGGGACGGUAGAGGUUUUAAGCAGACGAAGAGGGGGAGAGGGGGAGGAAAGCCCAUUUGUGUCAUAAAUUCCAGGGCACUGCACUUCAACACGUUCGGGCAGGAAGGUGCCGUUUUAGGGGAGAGAACGGGAGAGGAGCUGGGCGCCGGUCUCGCACCCAGCCCCGGCAGCGCUGGAGCCGCGGCGGGUCCCGGCCAAGCCGUCCCGACAGGCUGCCUGAACAGCUCACCGGGGAAAUCUGCAUCUCUGCAGCAGAGAAAGUUUCCUCUUGUUUUAUUCAGUAGCAGGGCAGGGGACAAAAAACAAACAAACAAACAAAAAGCUUCGAUAUUAAUAGGGAAAAAAAGGCAGGAGCCCAACAGAGCCAACCGCAAACCUCCCAAGCUGAUUUUUUUUCUGAAGGCAUCCGCAGCCGUUGCAGUCCGUGCGAGGAUUACCGGGUUGAGGGCGCACAAAUCCGCCUGUUUGCGGGUUUCCUGCCCCCCGUCCUUCCCAGCCCGAACCCGAUUUUCUUGCCUUUCUGCUGUUUUCCCCCAGCGGUUUUUAUUUAACACAUCCGGUGGGAGCGGGCGGUUCGGAGGGAGCCGGAGUCUGUUUUCCAUUUCACAAUAUGGUCAUUGUUUACCGGCACAUGCCCGCCGCGCCGCCGGAGCGGCUGCCCGGGGCGCCGCGGCCCGUUCGGGCCCGAGCCCCGCUGACCCCCGGGGGAGGUGGGCGCUGUGUCCGUGUGUCCCGCGGCCGCCGUGUCCGUGUGUCCCGCAGCCGCCGUGUCCGUCUGUCCCGCGGCCGCCGUGUCCGUCCGUCCCGCGGCCGCUGUGCGGAGGCGCGCGGGCCGUGCCCGUGGCAAGAGCGCCGCUCGGUGGCCGCGGGGCCGCAGCGCAGCCGCGCUACCUGCGCGCCCCCGCCCCCGCCGCCGCGCCGCCGCCGCCGCCCCCGCCG
This 1002-nucleotide long non-coding RNA is filed under the name Junco hyemalis (dark-eyed junco). RNAcentral's name for it is "lncRNA (ENSJHYG00000000566.1)". Lineage: Eukaryota; Metazoa; Chordata; Aves; Passeriformes; Passerellidae. The record is from RNAcentral.